UUCUACCUUUUUGGUUGUGUUUUCCUGUUUUUCUUUAAGGACUUGUAACUCUUUAGCAGUGUUCUGUAUUUCUUUAAGUGAGUUAUUAAAUUCCUUCUUUAUGUCCUCUACCAUCAUCAUGAGAAAUGCUUUUAAAUCCAGGUCUACCUUUUCAGGUGUGUUAGGAUGCCCUGGACUGGGCGAAGUGGGAGUGCUGGGUUCUGAUGAUGAUGAGUGGUCUUGGUUCCUGUUAGUAGGAUUCUUAAGUUUACCUUUCACCAUCUGGCAAUCUCUGGAGUUAGUUGUUAUAGUUGUUUUUGUUUAGAGAUUGUUCCUCUGUUGAUUUUGUUACCCUCUAUCAGCAGACGUGGGAGACUAGCUCUCUCCUCUGAGUUUCAGUGGUCAGAGCAGCCUCUGCAGGCAAGCUCUCCUCUUUCAGGGAAGGUGCACAGUUAUCUGGUGUUUGGACCUCCUCCUGGCUGAAGAUGAAGGCCCAAAACAGGAUCUUUCCCAGAAGCUGUGUUGCUUUGGCCAGGAAGGUGGCCGGUUGUCUGGAGCCGAAGAUGACGCUGCCUCAGAAGCUCUCUGGCUCUUGCCUGUCCCAGAAACGGCUGGCCUCUGUAUUCCACACCGUCACCCGUGAAGCCUGCCCUCCGAGGAGUCCUGGAGCCAAGUAGGCUUCUGUCGCCGGGGCCUGAGGCACAAACCUCUUGGGCUGGCGGAUCCCUCUGCACUCACCAGGAAGGUGGCCGUUUUUCUGGAGCCGAAGAUGGUGCCACCUCAGAAGCUCUGUGGCUCUCGCCUGUCCCAGAAACGGCUGGCCUCUGUAUUCCACACCGUCACCCCUGCAGCCUGCCCUCCGCGGAGUCCCGGAGCCAAGGAGGCUCCCGCAGGGGCCUGAGGCACAAACCUCUCGGGCCGGGCGGACCCCUGUGCACUCACCAGGAAGGUGGCCAGUUGUCUGGAGCCGAAGAUGGCGCUGCCUCAGAAGCUCUGUAAACAUUUUUUUUAACACAUUAAAAAAUAAAUAAAUUUGACCCACGUGCUGCUCUCCUACAAGGAAAAUCAGCUUAUCUGAAAAAUAAAAAAUAAAAAUAAAAAAAAUAAAAAAAAUGGGUGGAUGGCAAUGACAAUGAAUGGAAAUCUGAAACUAAUAGAGGAGAUGAAAUGUGAGGAUCUCCAGGAAGAGAGGGAGAGACCUGGGAUAAGGGAAGAGCCAAAGAAUACGAUUGGGCGACCUUACUUGUGACUUACUACAUUGGGAAUAUGGGACUUGAAGAGGCCACCUCCUGUAGCCAUACAGUAACCCCAGUGGAACUAUAGAGAGACCAACUUAGAAAAUUUUCAACCCAAUAUUGAUUCUGUCUACAAGUAAUGCAGGCACAAGGAAGGGAGGAGAGACUGAGAGAAUGGCCAACUAAUAUCCUGUUCAUCAUGAGACAUACCCCAUGGGCAAGUACCAGUCCCUAAUACUAUUAAUUAUACUUGGUUAUGUUUGCAGACAGGAGCAUGUUGUCCUCUCAGAGGCUCCACGCAGCAGCUGACUCAGACAGAUACAGACACCCAGAGCCAAACAGUAGAUGGAGCUUGGGGGAACUUUUUUUUUCUUUUCCAUUUUUUAUUAGGUAUUUAGCUCAUUUACAUUUCCAAUGCUAUACCAAAAGUCCCCCAUAGCCACCCACUCCCCCUUUUUGGCCCUGGCGUUCCCCUGUACUGGGGCAUAUAAAGUUUGCAAGUCCAAUGGGCCUCUCUUUCCAGUGAUGGCCGACUAGGCCAUCUUUUGAUACAUGUGCAGCUAGAGUCAAGAGCUCCAGGGUACUGGUUAGUUCAUAAUGUUGUUCCACCUAUAGGGUUGCAGAUCCCUUUAGCUCCUUGGGUACUUUCUCUAGCUCCUCCAUUGGGAGCCCUGUGAUCCAUCCAUUAGCUGACUGUGAGCAUCCACUUCUGUGUUUGCUAGGCCCCGGCAUAGUCUCACAAGAGACAGCUACAUCUGGGUCCUUUCAAUAAAAUCUUGCUAGUGUAUGCAAUGGUGUCAGCGUUUGGAUGCUGAUUAUGGGGUGGAUCCCGGGAUAUGGCAGUCUCUACAUGGUCCAUCCUUUCAUCUCAGCUCCAAACUUUGUCUCUGUAACUCCUUCCAAGGGUGUUUUGUUCCCACUUCUAAGGGGGGGGGGCAUAGUGUCCACACUUCAGUCUUCAUUUUUCUUGAGUUUCAUGUGUUUAGGAAAUUGUAUCUUAUAUCUUGGGUAUCCUAGGUUUUGGGCUAAUAUCCACGUAUCAGUGAGUACAUAUUGUGUGAGUUCCUUUGUGAAUGUGUUACCUCACUCAGGAUGAUGCCCUCCAGGUCCAUCCAUUUGGCUAGGAAUUUCAUAAAUUCAUUCUUUUUAAUAGCUGAGUAGUACUCCAUUGUGUAGAUGUACCACAUUUUCUGUAUCCAUUCCUCUGUUGAGGGGCAUCUGGGUUCUUUCCAGCUUCUGGCUAUUAUAAAUAAGGCUGCUAUGAACAUAGUGGAGCAUGUGUCCUUCUUACCAGUUGGGGCACCUUCUGGAUAUAUGCCCAGGAGAGGUAUUGCUGGAUCCUCCGGUAGUACUAUGUCCAAUUUUCUGAGGAACUGCCAGACUGAUUUCCAGAGUGGUUGUAAAAGCCUGCAAUCCCACCAACAAUGGAGGAGUAUUCCUCUUUCUCCACAUCCACGCCAGCAUCUGCUGUCACCUGAAUUUUUGAUCUUAGCCAUUCUGACUGGUGUGAGGUGGAAUCUCAGGGGGAGCUUGGGGAAACUUAUGUAGGAACAGGAGGAACAGCCACAGGCCCCAAAGGGAAUAGGAAUGUCACAGGAAGAUCAACCUAGUCAACUAACCUCAAUGUUUGGGGCUCUCUGAGUCUGAACCAUCAACCAAAGAACACACAAGAGCUGGACCUAGACAUCUCUGCUCAUAUGUAGCAGAUGUGUAGCUUGGCCUUCAUGGGGGUACCAAAGAACUGGAGCAGGAUAUAUCCCCAAAGCGGUUGCUUGUACUUGGGAUAUGUUCUACUAGCUACCUUGUCUGGCCUGAGCUGAAGAGGAAGCACCUAGCCAUCAGAAGACUUAGAAUGCCAGGGUGGGGAAACAUCCAGGGGCUCCCUACGCUCUCAGAUGAGAAGUGGAUGGAGAUAGGGGAAGGAUUGUGAUAGGCAUGACUAGAAGGGGUUAGUGAGUGGAAUGUAACGUAAAGUUGUUAUAUAUAUUCUGUUAUACACAUUUCCACUUCCUUUUUUUGUAUUAUUAAGUAUAUAUUUUAUUUUUUUAAUUUUUUUCAGUUAAUUAUUUUAUGUAUUAACAUUUCUCCACUGUGCAUUUCAGCUAAGGUCACCCACAUUGAGUCCUGGGAGCCUGGUCCAUUCCAAGUCUCUGGGAAAUUAUAGAGGUUUACCCCCAACCCCACCCCCAGUAGCUGCACUGCAUAUUUCCGUUCAUUCUUCUGGCCCUAUGGGCUUCUGUCAUGUCUACCUUUACCUUUCUUCUUAUUAUAUGACAUUUUCUGACCCAAGGUAUGGAGUUAGGCAUGGAGAUAGUGGUGACUGUUUUCUGAGUGGAGUAUAUUUCAUACUCUAGUACCAGAUGUGCAAGGUGAAAAUCAGUAAGAGUAACAUG
RNAcentral lists this long non-coding RNA (3607 nucleotides) under Mus musculus (house mouse). RNAcentral describes it as "long non-coding RNA chrX:80508383-80511990". Lineage: Eukaryota; Metazoa; Chordata; Mammalia; Rodentia; Muridae. The record is from RNAcentral.